GUCCCUCAGGCUGGAGUGCAGCGGCGCCAUCUCAGCUGAAUGCAACCUCUGCCUCCUGGGUUCAAGAGAUUCUCCUGCCUCAGCCUCCCAAGUAGCUGGGAUUACAGGUGCGUGCCACCACGCCUGGCUAAUUUUUUGUAUUUUUAGUAGAGACAGGGUUUCACCGUGUUAGCCAGGAUGACCUUGAUCUUCUGACCUCGUGAUCCUCCCACCUCAGCCUCCCAAAGUGCUGGGAUUACAGGCGUGAGCCACAGCGCCCGGCCUUCAGCGUGCUUUUUUUUUUAAUGGUUUGCUAUAUUUACAUCUGGUUUCUCCUUCUGAAUGGGAGUUAAUUGAAGAUACAAUACAGUCAAGCAACAGGAGGAAAGAAACAACAAAUGGGAGACAUGAGGUUCCGAGGAUCAUGGUUCCAACACAGGACAGCAGAAAAGAGGAGUUGCAAAAUGACUGCUACAAAACAGACUUAAAGAGAAAACAUUCCAGUUUCACGUAGGAGG
Molecule: long non-coding RNA, 497 nt
Filed under: Homo sapiens (human)
Lineage: Eukaryota; Metazoa; Chordata; Mammalia; Primates; Hominidae
Description: non-protein coding lnc-ZC3H11B-1:11
Source: RNAcentral